RNAcentral lists this non-coding RNA (83 nucleotides) under bovine gut metagenome. The record is from RNAcentral.
UACGGGGUGCUGCAACUUGUUGUGGCUGAGAAUAUACCCUUAACAACUUGAUCCGGAUAAUGCCGGCGAAAGGAUAAGAUUAU